UACGGGGGGGGCAAGCGUUGUUCGGAAUUACUGGGCGUAAAGGGGACGUAGGCGGCCAAUUAAGUCCGACGUGAAAUCCCAAGGCUUAACCUUGGAACUGCGUCGGAUACUGGAUGGCUUGAAUUCGGGAGAGGGUUGCAGAAUUCCAGGUGUAGCGGUGAAAUGCGUAGAUAUCUGGAGGAAUACCGGUGGCGAAGGCGGCAUCCUGGACCGGUAUUGACGCUGAGGCGCGAAAGCCAGGGGAGCAAACGGG
Molecule: ribosomal RNA, 253 nt
Filed under: uncultured bacterium
Lineage: Bacteria
Description: partial 16S ribosomal RNA
Rfam family: Bacterial small subunit ribosomal RNA
Source: RNAcentral